RNAcentral lists this ribosomal RNA (253 nucleotides) under uncultured bacterium. RNAcentral describes it as "partial 16S ribosomal RNA". It matches the Rfam family "Bacterial small subunit ribosomal RNA", at positions 524 to 776 of the family's 1533-position model. The record is from RNAcentral.
UACAGAGGUCCCAAGCGUUGUUCGGAUUCACUGGGCGUAAAGGGUGCGUAGGCGGUCGGGUAAGUCUGAUGUGAAAUCUCGGAGCUCAACUCCGAAACUGCAUUGGAUACUAUUCGGCUUGAGGUCUGGAGGGGGGACUGGAAUUCCUGGUGUAGCGGUGAAAUGCGCAGAUAUCAGGAGGAACACCGGUGGCGAAGGCGGGUCUCUGGGCCGAUACUGACGCUGAGGAGCGAAAGCGUGGGGAGCGAACAGG